Molecule: unclassified non-coding RNA, 533 nt
Filed under: plant metagenome
Description: partial contains small subunit ribosomal RNA, internal transcribed spacer 1, and 5.8S ribosomal RNA
Source: RNAcentral
UUUCCGUAGGUGAACCUGCGGAAGGAUCAUUAUCGAGCUUCGACAAAAAGACUCUCAUAAGUCACCUAGAGAGCCGUCACGGGGUUGCCCCACGCCAGGCCCGAUCGGUCGUUUCACGACGCCGAUCGGUGUUCAGGUAGGGGACGGUCGUCGGCCAUAACCGCCGUACACGACUGCCCUUUUCCCCGAUGGGAUUCAGUGACGCGAGUGAGAGAGGCACACCGGUACCGCUCCGAAUCGAGACGGUGCCGGGGACUUGCGUCCUCGUCUCGCUUACAAUUGCGACGACGUGUCAGCCGUUAGCGGCUGGUCCUGAGGCUAGAGUAACGGUUGUCGGUCCGUCGACCGUAUUGAUGGCCAGGAGGAAGUUCCCCGAAACCGCCGCGUUCGCGCGGUCGGCGACGGGUUUCAAAGCAGACUUAAUGAGCGCCGGCUAGGGCGCCGCCAACGACCCCCAACGAGGUUACCGAAUCGACCACCACUGACUACGGUCAGAAAAAUUACUACUCUAAGCGGUGGAUCACUCGGCUCGU